GUAGGGUGCGAGCGUUAAUCGAAAUUACUGGGCGUAAAGCGUGCGCAGGCGGUUAUGUAAGACAGGUGUGAAAUCCCCGGGCUUAACCUGGGAACUGCGCUUGUGACUGCAUAACUCGAGUGUGGCAGAGGGGGGUGGAAUUCCACGUGUAGCAGUGAAAUGCGUAGAGAUGUGGAGGAACACCGAUGGCGAAGGCAGCCCCCUGGGUCAACACUGACGCUCAUGCACGAAAGCGUGGGGAGCAAACAGGAUUAGAUACCCUGGUAGUCCACGCCCUAAACGAUGCGAACUAGGUGUUGGGGAAGGAGACUUUCUUAGUACCGCAGUAACGCGUGAAGUUCGCCGCCUGGGGAGUACGGUCGCAAGAUUA
RNAcentral lists this ribosomal RNA (370 nucleotides) under uncultured bacterium. RNAcentral describes it as "bacterial SSU rRNA". It matches the Rfam family "Bacterial small subunit ribosomal RNA", at positions 527 to 896 of the family's 1533-position model. The record is from RNAcentral.